Mangifera indica (mango) is the source of this 533-nucleotide long non-coding RNA. RefSeq lists it as uncharacterized. The record is from RefSeq and is a predicted model, not a curated record. Lineage: Eukaryota; Viridiplantae; Streptophyta; Magnoliopsida; Sapindales; Anacardiaceae. The transcript is spliced from 2 exons.
UAGAAGCGCAGCACUCAAAUCAAGAAUACAAAGAGACAUUAGAUGAGAGGAACAAAACUAUGGGAAGCUCCAAGGAGAUUUCAUCAUCAUCAUCAUCAGCAGUCUCACCGGCUCUAUGCCCUGGUCAUGAAGAUGGUGGGUUUCGUUUGAUUAUGCGUGACAAAGAAUAUGGGUUGCAUGGUAAAAUCCUGAUGCUUGUUCUGAAAAAAAUUGCCACUUAAUUUUAUGGCUAAGGAAACCAAGAAGAGUUGAGGGUGGUGCUGCAACAGGAGAGUGCCUAAAUUGCAAUAACCAAAUUAGCAGAAAAUUUCCCUUACAAUAUCAAAGCAAGAUUAUUAGGAGUGUGAAAUGAGAAAAAAGCAGUACUCUGUUUACUCUAAUUGCUUAAAGAACGAAGAUAAUAUUGUAGCUGCGAGUAUCUAUCUUAAUGGGACUAGAAUAUUCAUAAUUUUGUGCUGUUUUGGAUAAUAUCUUCUUGUUUUUGUUCUUUCAUGGUGUAACAUGAAAAAUAAAAUUAUGUUUCCUCCUGUUUA